AAAGGCCCUGCUUGCAGGGUACUCGAGUGGCGAACGGGUGAGUAACACGUGGGUGAUCUGCCCUGCACUUCGGGAUAAGCUUGGGAAACUGGGUCUAAUACCGGAUAGGACCGCACUUUAGUGUGUGUGGUGGAAAGUUUUUUCGGUGUAGGAUGAGCUCGCAGGCCUAUCAGCUUGUUGGUGGGGUAAUGGGCCUACCCAAGGCGGCGACGGGUAGCCGGCCUGAGAGGGUGUACGGCCACAUUGGGACUGAGAUACGGCCCAGACUCCUACGGGAGGCAGCAGUGGGGAAUAUUGCACAAUGGGCGCAAGCCUGAUGCAGCGACGCCGCGUGGGGGAUGAAGGCCUUCGGGUUGUAAACUCCUUUCGCUAGGGACGAAGCUUUUUGUGACGGUACCUAGAUAAGAAGCACCGGCUAACUACGUGCCAGCAGCCGCGGUAAUACGUAGGGUGCGAGCGUUGUCCGGAAUUACUGGGCGUAAAGGGCUCGUAGGUGGUUUGUCGCGUCGUCUGUGAAAUUCUGGGGCUUAACUCCGGGCGUGCAGGCGAUACGGGCAUAACUUGAGUGCUGUAGGGGUAACUGGAAUUCCUGGUGUAGUGGUGAAAUGCGCAGAUAUCAGGAGGAACACCGAUGGCGAAGGCAGG
RNAcentral lists this ribosomal RNA (645 nucleotides) under uncultured Actinomycetales bacterium. RNAcentral's name for it is "bacterial SSU rRNA". It matches the Rfam family "Bacterial small subunit ribosomal RNA", at positions 69 to 725 of the family's 1533-position model. The record is from RNAcentral. Lineage: Bacteria; Bacillati; Actinomycetota; Actinomycetes; Actinomycetales.